This 810-nucleotide ribosomal RNA is filed under the name uncultured bacterium. RNAcentral describes it as "bacterial SSU rRNA". It matches the Rfam family "Bacterial small subunit ribosomal RNA", at positions 8 to 796 of the family's 1533-position model. The record is from RNAcentral.
AGAGUUUGAUCAUGGCUCAGAACGAACGCUGGCGGCGUGGAUAAGACAUGCAAGUCGGACGAGACUUUUCGUUGUAGCAAUACGAUGGAAAGUCUAGUGGCGAACGGGUGCUUAACACGUGGGCAACCUGCCAGGAAGUGGGGGACAGCUCGCCGAAAGGCGGAUUAAUACCGCAUGUGAUUAGAGAGGACAUCCUUCCGAAAUUAAAGUCGGGGCAACCUGACGCUUCCUGUGGGGCCCGCGGCCUAUCAGCUAGUUGGUGAGGUAACGGCUCACCAAGGCUUUGACGGGUAGCUGGUCUGAGAGGACGACCAGCCACACUGGGACUGAGACACGGCCCAGACACCUACGGGUGGCAGCAGUCGAGAAUUUUUGACAAUGGGGGAAACCCUGAUCGAGCGACGCCGCGUGGAGGAUGAAGGUCUUCGGAUUGUAAACUCCUGUCAUUGGGGAACAAUGCGCAAAUAUUAACUGUAUUUGUGUUGAUAGUACCCGAAGAGGAAGAGACGGCUAACUCUGUGCCAGCAGCCGCGGUAAUACAGAGGUCUCAAGCGUUGUUCGGAUUCAUUGGGCGUAAAGGGUGCGUAGGCGGCGCGGUAAGUCGGGUGUGAAAUCUCGGAGCUUAACUCCGAAACUGCAUUCGAUACUGCCGUGCUUGAGGACUGGAGAGGAGACUGGAAUUUACGGUGUAGCGGUGAAAUGCGUAGAUAUCGUAAGGAAGACCAGUGGCGAAGGCGGGUCUCUGGACAGUUCCUGACGCUGAGGCACGAAGGUCAGGGGAGCAAACGGGAUUAGAUACCCUAGUAGUCC